UGAAUACGAGACGCUAAGGCGUCGAAGUAGUGUAUGUCAUACUUCCAAGAAAAGCUUGCACUGUCAUAGAUAAAAAACGCCUGUACCAUAACCGACACAGGUGGGUAGGUAGAGUAUACUAAGGGGCGCGAGAUAACUCUCUCUAAGGAACUCGGCAAAAUAACUCCGUAACUUCGGGAGAAGGAGUGCCUUAUUCGUAAGGUUGCAAUAACAAGAUCCAAGCAACUGUUUAUCAAAAACACAGGUCUCCGCUAAGUCGUAAGACGAUGUAUGGGGGCUGACGCCUGCCCAGUGCCAGAAGGUUAAAGAAGUUGGUUAGCAAUUGCGAAGCUGAUAACUGAAGCCCUGGUGAACGGCGGCCGUAACGAUAACGGUCCUAAGGUAGCGAAAUUCCUUGUCGGGUAAGUUCCGACCCGCACGAAAGGCGUAAUGAUUUGGAUACUGUCUCGGAGAGGGGCUCGGUGAAAUAGACUUGUCUGUGAAGAUGCGGACUACCUGCACCAGGACAGAAAGACCCCAUGAAGCUUUACUGUAACUUGAAAUUGAAAUUGGACUUUAUUCGCGCAGUAUAGGUGGGAGGCGUUGAUUAUAAUCUUGUGGGAUUAUUGGAGCCAUCAGUGAGAUACCACUCUUGUAAUGUUAGAUUUCUAACUUUGAAUCAUUAUCUGGUCAAAGAACAGUUUCAGGCGGGCAGUUUGACUGGGGCGGUCGCCUCCUAAACGGUAACGGAGGCGUACAAAGGUUUCCUCUGAACGGUUAGAAAUCGUAUCUAGAGUGUAAAGGCAUAAGGAAGCUUGACUGUGAGACCUACAAGUCGAGCAGGGACGAAAGUCGGUCUUAGUGAUCUGACGGUACUGAGUGGAAAGGCCGUCACUCAACGGAUAAAAGUUACUCUAAGGAUAACAGGCUGAUCUCCCCCAAGAGUUCACAUCGAGGGGGAGGUUUGGCACCUCGAUGUCGGCUCAUCGCAUCCUGGGGCGGUAGUACGUCCCAAGGGUUGGGCUGUUCGCCCAUGAAAGCGGUACGCGAGCUGGGUUCAGAACGUCGUGAGACAGUUCGGUCCAUAUCCGGUGUAGGCGUUAGAAUAUUGAGAGGAGCCUUCUUUAGUACGAGAGGACCGAGAAGGACAUACCUCUGGUGUACCAGUUAUCGUGCCAACGGUAAACGCUGGGUAGCUAUGUAUGGAGUGGAUAACCGCUGAAAGCAUCUAAGUGGGAAGCCCACCUCAAGAUAAGUAUUCUCA
This 1243-nucleotide ribosomal RNA is filed under the name metagenome. Its description in RNAcentral is "bacterial LSU rRNA". It matches the Rfam family "Bacterial large subunit ribosomal RNA", at positions 1564 to 2816 of the family's 2925-position model. The record is from RNAcentral.